RNAcentral lists this long non-coding RNA (491 nucleotides) under Mytilus galloprovincialis (Mediterranean mussel). Lineage: Eukaryota; Metazoa; Mollusca; Bivalvia; Mytilida; Mytilidae. The record is from RNAcentral.
CUGGCUAAGUGUUUGAGAAAUUUUAUGCACAAAAAUUAGUAUUUGAGACAAUUACAAACACCUUGGCAUAAAGCUUGACAAUGUUGUACUAAAUCAUAAGAAUAUUGAAAUUAAUGUUAAUUAUAGAUUAUCAUUGAUCAUCUCAACGAGGUUGAUUUUCGCGCUUGAGCCGGUAAGACAAAAGCAGGAAAGGCAAUCGAGUGGAGAUGACCAAAGAUGAUCUGUUUAUCGCUAUUUUACCUAUGACGACGUUGUCAAUUUCAUUAGCAACGCCACGUGCCUCCUUAGUUUCAAGCGAUAAUUUUCCAUCUCAAGCGAGUAUCAUGAUCUGAAAAAUUAUCACAAAAAAAGAUCAAAGGAAAAAUGUGCAAAACAGCGAAUAAAAGGAAUAUCGAUCCUUAUGAAAAGAGACAUGUGCAAUUAUGUUUUACUUUACUAAACUAGCAAUAUAAAACUGUCUCGUUAAAAGUACAUGUGACAUUCUGUGGCUC